GACCUGAGCGCGUCUGGUGUGGGUGGACAAAAAAGCACGAGUGCGGAUCGGGUACUGGCUAGAGGCGGAGAGGGUAGUAAGUAGGGCUGCACGCACCAGUAGAUAACAGUAGCCAGAAAAUACUGGGCCGGUACCAAAGGAUACAACCGCCAGAUUGCCUUGUCAUCGGCAUCGCACCAACUACUGUGAAUGGUUCAGACUUCACUGGAGCUGCUGCUCAAUAUGGACAUCCUGGGUGGUGGUGUUUACUUAUCCCUGUCCUGGUCGUUGUUUGCAUUGGCAUCAUUACUUACAGGUGUAUCAAGAAGCGCAAAAUAAAAAACUAUGUCAUAUAAGGCACUCAGGACUACCCAUCCCUUAACCAAGCUAUUUGGACCCAACCCCCAGAGAAAGUGACAGGGACAGCACUCAGGACUACCCAAACCCCCAGAUCAGGAUGCUGCUGCGUUAUCUCUGCCUUAAUUCCAUCACUUUAACUCUUCUUCUUAAAGUUGUAAUCUUUUAAUACGUUUUCAUAUUCAUAUUCUUGUAAAUCAGUACCGUUAAACCAGUGCCUUGGAUAAUUUUUGGUCCUCUAAUACUGACACCAGCCGGCUAAAGCCUACUCUUAUUCUUAGGAAUAAGUAUGGAAAUACAAAUGUUUUACCCAUGACGCAUCUACCAGGGUAUUUUGAAUGGGGCAAAAAAGGAAAAUAUGUCCAGUUAUUAAUCAAGCAGAGAUAAGCUUAUUCAAAAGUUGAUGCACUUUAACCCACCAAUGAAUUAUAAUUUACACAUGUUCUAUAACACCCAUUCCACCUUUGAAACUUCAUAUGAGUCUGGUCUGCACAUGGCUGAGGGAGGAAUGUAGUGAUUUAUAAUACAAGUUAUUACCAUCAAGAUGAUGGUACAGGACCCCACUACUGAAAAUCAACCUGGGUUCAUAAAUGAUUUGUGCCAUCCAUCUCCCUAAUGAAAAGGAUUUAUCCUAGCCUUCACCACCACUGUACUGUAUGUAAAAGCAUUAUGUUGUACUGUGCUAUUUGUCUAUGUCAGUACUGUAUUUCUAAUGCUAGUGUUUGUGAAAUGCAGUAAGUCUAUUUACAAGUAUAUUUAUGCUGUAAAGCAGGGUUUCCCAAAGUCAUUUAAAUUGGUUAUUUGAAUCAGCUGUGUAGUGCUAGGGCAAAAAAGAUAUAUGGACCCAGGGUGGGCCCCACAACUGAGUUUGGGAAACCCUGCUGUACAUUAUGAGGCUGUAAUACUCUAUUCUAUACCAGUACUCAAGUGUUGGAGAAAAG
RNAcentral lists this long non-coding RNA (1277 nucleotides) under Salmo salar (Atlantic salmon). RNAcentral's name for it is "lncRNA (ENSSSAG00000082845.1)". The record is from RNAcentral. Lineage: Eukaryota; Metazoa; Chordata; Actinopteri; Salmoniformes; Salmonidae.